This is a long non-coding RNA of Triticum aestivum (bread wheat), 191 nucleotides long. RefSeq lists it as uncharacterized. The transcript has 3 exons. Lineage: Eukaryota; Viridiplantae; Streptophyta; Magnoliopsida; Poales; Poaceae. The record is from RefSeq and is a predicted model, not a curated record.
CUUUUUUUUCACUUUUUGAGGUGUUUUGCCUAGUCUGAAUUUCCCCUUCUUCUAUUUGAUCAAGAUGGAUAGCAAAAAAGCAUGAAUAGGCCUACUGGGAUGGAAGGAGAGAAGGACUAAACGAGAAAAGGAAAUACCUCUUUGUUUACCUUGGAAUGAAUUGCUCAACUACUUAGAUCGGAAGAGCACAC